Molecule: long non-coding RNA, 887 nt
Organism: Gracilinanus agilis (Agile Gracile Mouse Opossum)
Lineage: Eukaryota; Metazoa; Chordata; Mammalia; Didelphimorphia; Didelphidae
Exons: 2
Source: RefSeq, a predicted model, not a curated record
AGAGGGGAUUUCUCUCUCUCUUCCUCUCCCUCUGGACUGGAUAGCUGCUGAGGACCAGGACCCGUGCAAGCUCUUCCCUAGGACAAAGGUCCUCAGCCUUCCUCCUGGAGACCACAGACGGCAGAGCCUCUCCCCUGCCUUCUCCCAUGGCAGAUCUCCUACCUUUGCUUCCCUGGGCACCCUUGCUAGGGGAGCCUGAGGCCUCUCCAGGCCGGAGCUCCCCCACUCCCCCAGGCAAGCAGCACCAGAGCAAUCAUGGCGGCAGUGGAGCAAAGGGUAGGGCCUGGGCCCCCUGGGAGCUCCUGCCUCUGCCCACCAUACAGGUAACGCCCUCCAGCGAAGGGGAGACACCCCCAUGCACCCCGACCCGCCGCCGGCACCUCCGGCUGUCAAGGACCUCUGACACGGACAAUUCAGCUGGGGACAGGUCAGACUGCUAGGCAUCUGGGCAUGGCUUUCCCCCUUUAAGCCAGGGAAAGGGUGAGGGAGCAGGGGGGGCGGGGAAUUGUUAUUGCCCCCCUGACACGCAAGAUAGCUGCGGAGAAAGGCUGGAUAGUCCCAGAGAUAGGCCCGCGAAAGAGGCCAUCAAGGACGAGGAAGGAUGGAGGAAGACCCCAAAGAAGGGUCCCAGAGCUGUCCGGCUACAUGAAAAAGAAAGGGAUGGCCCGGGAGGGUCCCAACCCGAGUCACAGAGAUGGGACUGCUAGUGAGAAAAGAGGCGGAAAGAGACAGGUCGGACAGAGACAGACAGACAGACAGGCAGAGCCUCCAGGGGCCAGAUGGAGGGAGAAACCCAGGGAGCCAGGAGAGGGAGCCCCAAACCCCAGGACCCCGAGGGAGGCAGCAGCAGAGAGAGAAGAGAACAAGGAACGCUCAGAAGAGGCAGA